AAAAAUGAGGUUCUUGUUAGCUAAAGAAGAAGGGUUAAAAGCCUUUGGUUGUAAA
RNAcentral lists this small RNA (55 nucleotides) under Arabidopsis thaliana (thale cress). RNAcentral describes it as "ATSL206760". The record is from RNAcentral. Lineage: Eukaryota; Viridiplantae; Streptophyta; Magnoliopsida; Brassicales; Brassicaceae.